CGGGGAGGGAUAGCAGAGAUAUACCUAAUGUUAAAUGAGUUACUGGGUGCAGCACAGCAACAUGGCGCAUGUAUACAUAGGUAACUAAACUGCACGUUGUGCACAUGUACCCUAAAACUUAAAGUAUAAUAAAAAAAAAGAAUAAAGAAAAAAGAUUUUAAACAGUUGGUUCUCCAGAAAAUAGCAUGUGGAUGUGUCCUCUCAGAUUCUUUGUGAAGCCAGUCAACUCUGUAAGU
RNAcentral lists this long non-coding RNA (236 nucleotides) under Homo sapiens (human). Its description in RNAcentral is "non-protein coding lnc-GC-2:1". Lineage: Eukaryota; Metazoa; Chordata; Mammalia; Primates; Hominidae. The record is from RNAcentral.